GAUGAACGCUGGCGGCGUGCCUAAUACAUGCAAGUCGAGCGAACAGACGAGGAGCUUGCUCCUCUGACGUUAGCGGCGGACGGGUGAGUAACACGUGGAUAACCUACCUAUAAGACUGGGAUAACUUCGGGAAACCGGAGCUAAUACCGGAUAAUAUAUUGAACCGCAUGGUUCAAUAGUGAAAGACGGUUUUGCUGUCACUUAUAGAUGGAUCCGCGCCGCAUUAGCUAGUUGGUAAGGUAACGGCUUACCAAGGCAACGAUGCGUAGCCGACCUGAGAGGGUGAUCGGCCACACUGGAACUGAGACACGGUCCAGACUACUACGGGAGGCAGCAGUAGGGAAUCUUCCGCAAUGGGCGAAAGCCUGACGGGGCAACGCCGCGUGAGUGAUGAAGGUCUUCGGAUCGUAAAACUCUGUUAUUAGGGAAGAACAAAUGUGUAAGUAACUAUGCACGUCUUGACGGUACCUAAUCAGAAAGCCACGGCUAACUACGUG
Molecule: ribosomal RNA, 497 nt
Filed under: uncultured bacterium
Lineage: Bacteria
Description: partial 16S ribosomal RNA
Rfam family: Bacterial small subunit ribosomal RNA
Source: RNAcentral